GGGCAGAGAGAGAGGGAGACACAGAAUCGGAAGCAGGCUCCAGGCUGUGAGCCAUCAGCCCAGAGCCCGAUAUGCGGGGCUCAAACUCACGAACCAGGAGAUCAUGACCUGAGCCAAAGUCGGACACUUACCAACUGAGCCACCCAGGCGCCUCAAAAUGACACCUUUCUUAAAGAAGGAAAACAAUUUGAAAGACAGCAGAUUUCUCAUCAGACGUCAUGGAGUCAUGGAGGCACAACAGUUUUCAAAUUAAAGAAAACUGUUCAACCCAGCAUUUCCCCAUCUAGGUAGAUUUUAGCAGCAGUGAGCCACAGAUCCCAGUUGGCCACACAAUCAUGAGGGUAAACAACCAAUACACUUAGAACCAUUCUGUUUUUCAUUUUCAGUACAGUAAUCAACAAAAUAUGAGAUAUUCAGCACUUUGUUAUAAAAUGGGCUUGUUAGAUGAUUUUGCCCAACUGGAGGCUAAUGUGAGUGUUCUGAGCAUGUUUAAGGUAGGCUGGGCUGAGCUAUGAUGUUUAGUCAUUUAAGUGUAUGAAAUGCAUUUUUGCCUUAUGAUGUUUUCAUAAGUUUCAAAGUUUGGAUGACUCCCCCUCCCCCAAGCUGUCACACAACUCUUUUGUGGCGAAAUGUCAGAAGUAGAGAAAAAAAUAUAUAUAGACUCCCUUUGGAUCCUAUGGGCCUCUCUUCUUGGUUCUGUUGACACUACUGUAGUGGCAAUGCAGCCUCAUGACCAGUACUGGUGUUGGGGCAAAGUCAGUAGAGAAAAAAGAAGAUAAGGGGGGAAGGAAGAAGGGAAAUUUCACACCCCCUCCCAUUCAGGAGCCUCUUUUUCUAGCUCUCUGGCUAGAAAUAAGUGAUUUCUUUCAUAGCUUUUGCUGUUUGCACCAAUUGCACAGUUCUGGGAAAAUCCCUCCUUCCAGUCAUAGCCAAGAGAUAAAGAAGAAAAAUACCCCAGUAAACAUACCUCCGUAUUGUUCACUCUUAAGUUAUAUUAAAUGCAAUUGAUUAUUUUUUUUAA
Long non-coding RNA from Neofelis nebulosa (Clouded leopard), 1021 nucleotides. RefSeq lists it as uncharacterized. Lineage: Eukaryota; Metazoa; Chordata; Mammalia; Carnivora; Felidae. The transcript has 2 exons. The record is from RefSeq and is a predicted model, not a curated record.